This 465-nucleotide ribosomal RNA is filed under the name Vreelandella stevensii. RNAcentral describes it as "partial 16S ribosomal RNA". It matches the Rfam family "Bacterial small subunit ribosomal RNA", at positions 338 to 795 of the family's 1533-position model. Lineage: Bacteria; Pseudomonadati; Pseudomonadota; Gammaproteobacteria; Oceanospirillales; Halomonadaceae. The record is from RNAcentral.
CCUACGGGGGGCAGCAGUGGGGAAUAUUGGACAAUGGGGGGAACCCUGAUCCAGCCAUGCCGCGUGUGUGAAGAAGGCCCUCGGGUUGUAAAGCACUUUCAGUGAGGAAGAACGCCUGGUGGUUAAUACCCAUCAGGAAAGACAUCACUCACAGAAGAAGCACCGGCUAACUCCGUGCCAGCAGCCGCGGUAAUACGGAGGGUGCGAGCGUUAAUCGGAAUUACUGGGCGUAAAGCGCGCGUAGGUGGCUUGAUAAGCCGGUUGUGAAAGCCCCGGGCUCAACCUGGGAACGGCAUCCGGAACUGUCAAGCUAGAGUGCAGGAGAGGAAGGUAGAAUUCCCGGUGUAGCGGUGAAAUGCGUAGAGAUCGGGAGGAAUACCAGUGGCGAAGGCGGCCUUCUGGACUGACACUGACACUGAGGUGCGAAAGCGUGGGUAGCAAACAGGAUUAGAUACCCUAGUAGGC